Molecule: ribosomal RNA, 274 nt
Filed under: uncultured bacterium
Lineage: Bacteria
Description: partial 16S ribosomal RNA
Rfam family: Bacterial small subunit ribosomal RNA
Source: RNAcentral
AUACGGAGGGUGCAAGCGUUGUUCGGAAUUACUGGGCGUAAAGCGCGCGUAGGCGGUCUGUUAUGUCAGAUGUGAAAGUCCUCGGCUCAACCGGGGAAGUGCAUUUGAAACUGGCAGACUUGAGUACUGGAGGGGGUGGUGGAAUUCCCGGUGUAGAGGUGAAAUUCGUAGAUAUCGGGAGGAAUACCGGUGGCGAAGGCGACCACCUGGCCAGAUUCUGACGCUGAGGUGCGAAAGCGUGGGGAGCAAACAGGAUUAGAUACCCGGGUAGUCC